GGGGACGAAAUUGGUUUCGACUGUUGUUGUCAGGGAUCAUGUGGCGUGUAGAGGUUGUAGGCUCCUCUCAAAACCUUCAAACAAUAACCGCUAAUAACGAAUUAGCUUUAGCAGCUUAAUCUCUGCUACGAAGUCUCGGUUCUUUCUCUCGAGUUCCGAACGCUUUGACACUUACCGAGAGGCGGCUUUUUCGGUUUUCGGUUCCCGAAAAAGACUGUAAACGAGCCGGAUAGAAAAGAGAGUCCUGUCUGAGGGUUAAACUCUUUUCGAACACUUUAUACACAGACUACACACGUAGAGGCUGAUCUGGGGCGCAAUAGGACGCGGGUUCGAACCCCGCCGUCUCCAGGA
RNAcentral lists this transfer-messenger RNA (351 nucleotides) under Leptospira gomenensis. RNAcentral's name for it is "Standard tmRNA". It matches the Rfam family "transfer-messenger RNA". From Rfam's summary of the family: Bacterial tmRNA, also known as 10Sa RNA or SsrA, is named for its dual tRNA and mRNA-like properties. Its role is to liberate the mRNA from a stalled ribosome. Lineage: Bacteria; Pseudomonadati; Spirochaetota; Leptospiria; Leptospirales; Leptospiraceae. The record is from RNAcentral.